Molecule: unclassified non-coding RNA, 4274 nt
Filed under: Daphnia magna
Lineage: Eukaryota; Metazoa; Arthropoda; Branchiopoda; Diplostraca; Daphniidae
Description: centrosomal protein of 135 kDa, transcript variant X2
Source: RNAcentral
UUUUACCGACAGGUUCGCUGUGUUUCGCUCAAACGACGGUUGCUAUGUUUUGGUUUUCGCGCUUUUGAAAAUUACGAAAGCCACACAGUGCAUCGGUUUGUGCAUUUGAAUAAAUUUUUGUCUAUUUCCAACAUAGCAUGGGUGACUGGUUCCUGCCUUUAACAUUUUUACGACGUACCGAUAUUUUAUUUCCUAUCAGAAUAGCUGUAUUGCAUGUCGAAUUUCGAUUUUUGGCAUCGUAACCAUGGGGACCCAAAGCCAUCCACCUAGCAAUUUACGAUCAAAAACUAGUUAUUCUCUAUACGUCAGUCUUCGCCAUCAGCUGGACGACUUAGGCUACAAUAACUAUUUGUCAAAUGAUACUGUUCCAUUAGUGGAUAAACUAGUUAAAGAUCUCCUGUGUUACAAACAAUUGUGUACAGCAAACCCAAAUUCUCAACCAAGUGCAAGAAAACAAAGUGAACAGGCUCCGGCAGAAAGUUUGACCACAACAGAAUGUAGCAUUAAGAAUUUUGGCCAACAUUAUCGGCAGUAUUCCCGGGAUGAAAAGAUAACUAAUACAGAAGUAGAAGUACUGAAACAGGAAAAAUCAAAGCUUCAGGAACAAAUAAAUGAACUGAAAUUUGUUCUUGAUCAAAACACAACCAUUAUCCAAAGAUUAAAAAAGGAAAAUGAUACAAAAAGUUUACUACUUUUGCAGCUUCAAAAUGAAACAGCUAAGGGUGAAUCACAGGUUAACCCAUCCAAACCCAGCAUAGAAAAAGAUGGUGAUUUACCAGGGGCCAACCUAUCAAAAAUCCAGGCACUUUACAAGAGGAUACUAGCAGCAUCUGAUAAUCCUGCUAUUAUCGACUGGGUUAAGGCCGCUGAAGUAAAAAUCAGCAACUUGGAGCGUGAAUUGGACAACACCGGCAGAGCACUCGAUGUUAGCCAAAGAACUUGCGAGCAGUUUCAGAAGCAGAUUUUGGAAUAUGAAAACAAACUCAUCCAGCUCGAAAAAGCAGACAGAAACAGAGGAACCAAUACCUUUGCGCAACUGAAAUCUCGAAUGGAACAAAAGGAGCAAGAGAAUAAAGAACUACAGGCUAAACUCUCAGAAGCAGUACGGAACCAACAUGAAGCAAUGAGUAGAGCAAUUAUGCUAGCUGGCGACAGACCAUACAAUCACGAAACGGCUGCAAAAAACGCUAGUGCAGAGAAAAAAAUUAUUAGUCUUGAGUCAGAACGCAACGUGAUGAAACAGAUGUUAACCACCACUCAGAAAGAAAGGGAUGAAUUAAUGAAAGAAGUCCAUCGCUUACAUUCUCAAGAAUCCAUGUUGAUGAAUGAAAUUCGCGCUCUCGUAAGCAGUGAAUCAGCCUCACAGGGACCAAAAUCCAAGCAUGUUCGCUUUCAAACGAAUGACAAAAAUGCUUCAACAACGGAUAGUGGCGUCGAAUCUUCUGCCAGAUCAGCGACUAGUUCAGUUCAGGAGGAGGGGGGAGGACGCGGUCGCGAAAACUGGCUGAAGCGACUGGCAGAGCAGCGCCAGUUGUACUAUGACAACGUUCAUCAGUUAUUGAACUACAUGAAAAAUCGCCAAGGAUUGCCUACCGAACUACCGGGCGGUAAACCUGAUACGCAAAAUUCCCAGGCUUUUGACCCCAGUCGACCAACUGUUUUGCAGCAAAAUCCUCCUCAAACGAGUAAUGCAUCGUACAAUCUACCUCAGCAACAAUCACAGCGGAACAUUGAUCAACCUUUGCAUACGUAUCAACAACCUCCACUCCUCAAUUUUCAACAGCCUGAUCGGCAACAAGUACCGGCAGGGGGCCAGACGACAUAUAAUUGGCCUUCCGGUCAACCUUAUGGACCACAAUCUGAAAAUAUAUUUGUUCCACCAAAUCAAGAAUCACAGUCGAUAUCAAUGUCAACUGGGCAAUCAAAUGCUCCGCAAUCAAACACAGCUGUCGCUCAACAGAAACCCCAGUCACCUGCUCAAAAUCAAAGGAAUUCUGACGAAAUACCACCGCAGCAACAACUAAAUAACUACCAAUGGUAUGCUCAAUCUCAGAGAAAUGCUGGACAAACUAAUCCAACACGCCCGAAUUUUCCUGUUUGUGUUUGUGGGGGCGUACCACAAAACUUUUUGUCACAGUUCCAGGGACAGCCCGGAAUUCCUCAAACAUAUCAGCCCAAUCCAAGUAUGGGUCCAUUUAGUUAUCCACAAUCAUAUCAUGAUCCCAAUGCUGGCAUGCCCAAUUAUCAAAAUUCAUAUCAGUCACACUCCAAUGCUCACCCGCAAGGAUUUGUUCAACAGUCAAACGUUUCCUCCGCUCAGCCUGCUCAAGGGUUGGCUACCCACACGAGUACAAAAUCGUUUGGUAUUAUAACCCCCGACCAGCCUAACCACAGGAUUAGCAGACCUACUACAACAAACGUGCAUGACCGUAAAACUCAAACGGAAUCCGGAGCUUCCGCAUCAGCCUACACACCUACUACUGAAGAAAUAAGUAAACUACCAGAUCAGCUUCAAACGUGGGCGCAAAACGUGAUGGAGGAAAAGAAGUCAUUGAAAGAAAAGAAUUCCGAACUACGACUUGAAUUAGACGAAAUAAAGGAAAAUUCACAGAAAUCGGAUGGCCUAGUGACUGAUGUUACGGAAAAAUUUAAAAAGGCUGAAGAUCUGAUUUUGAAACUUCAGGCCGAUAUAGAAGCUUCCAAUACGAAGAUGCGUUUUAUGGAACAGAGCCUUCAGCUCGAACGCAACAACUUGCAGCAGCUUCGCCUCGAUAUUGACGAAGCCGACGGAAAUUCGUCCUCCCUAACAAAGAAAUUUGUUGAAAAAUCGACUCAGCUGGAUGCGGCGAAACAGCAAUGCCAACACUUAGAACAAACCGUAGGGGCGCUUCAGGAUCAGAUAAAGAGUCUUCAAAAUCAAUUGUUAGCGAUACAGAGCCAGAACGAAAUCCCAAAUCCAGUUGUACAAAAAUUAUUGAACGAAAUAGAAGGUCGCAAUACCCGCGUCCUCCAGCUAGAAAAACAAUUAUCUGCAAAGCAGGACAUUGUAACCCAACGAGAAAAAGAAGUCGAUGCCAUCAAUAAUAAACUCAAAGAAACGGAGCAAGAUCUCAAUGCAGAAAAGGCUAAAGUCUGGCAGCUGCAACAAGACAUGGAAAAUUCUCACGGCAAACUGAAGGUGACGGAGCGUGAAGUGUCACUUGAGAAAAAUAGGCUUCAACAGCUACAGGCGGAAAUAGCAAACGCCGACAUGAAUGCUGCCUCCCUGACGAAGAAAAUGAUGGAGAAAACUGCACAACUUGACGAGGCAAGGCAGCAUUGCAACGGGCUGGAACAGAAAGUACUGAGACUCGAAGAACAAGUAGGAAGUCUUCAGGGUCAGUUACGCAGCUUGCAGGUUAUACGUGCUCAGGGUGAAACCGAACAACGACAGCUUCUGGACGAACUAGAUGCAUGUAAGGCACGGAUUAACCAAUUGGAAAGGCAAUCAUCCACGAAGCAGGAUACAAUUACAAUGCUCCAGAACCAUAUUCAGACUUAUGAAAACAAAAUUCAGAUGCUCGAACGAGAAACCGGUGAGAAAAACAGCCAAGUGGAGUUGAACCGUCGUCAAAAUGAUCGCCUUGUUGACGAAAUUGACAAAGCAAAAAUAGAUAAUUCGUCACUUCGGCAAGAAAACGAGCGAUUAGUUGCUUCACUCGCCCAAAGUCGCGGGGAAUUGGAUCGCGAACGCAAAGGUGCUGAGGAUCUGCGACGAGAGAUUCAGUCGUAUGUCAAUCAUGUACGACAAGUGGAGUCCAUUUUGGCAAAAAAAGGACGAAGAAAAAGAUGCUCUCUUGAAGCAGUUUCAAGCUUUAGCAAACGAGACCAGCAGCUUCGACACAGAAAGAGAAAAUAUGGAACGGUCCAUUCGAAGUCAGAAACAAGAAGUCACCACUUUGCAGGCAGAAUUAUUGACUGUGCGACGGCGGCUUGGAGAACUCGAACAACUGUAUGCACAACAGAAAACAGCUGGGGUUCAAUCAGAAAUGCAAGCCGACGAUUUAUUACGGCGAUUGGGUAUUUUGGAGCGAGAUUUGCGAGAUGAACGAGGAGAUAAGAUACGACUCGAACAGCAGCUUGCUGCCGCACACGAUCUCCAGAAUCGACUGGAAAAGCAAUUAGAAAAACUUCGAAUGGAAGCUGCCCAAGCUGAUUCAACCACUCAUCAGAUGGAAACUGAAACUACCCGGCUGCACGAGGAUUUUCGAGUACUCGACCAACGUCUAUUGAAA